This 453-nucleotide ribosomal RNA is filed under the name uncultured bacterium. RNAcentral describes it as "bacterial SSU rRNA". It matches the Rfam family "Bacterial small subunit ribosomal RNA", at positions 349 to 793 of the family's 1533-position model. The record is from RNAcentral.
CAGCAGUGGGGAAUAUUGCACAAUGGGGGAAACCCUGAUGCAGCCAUGCCGCGUGUGGGUGAAGAAGGCCUUCGGGUUGUAAAGCACUUUCAGUAGGGAGGAAGGUAGUGUAGUUAACACCUGCACUAUUUGACGUUACCUACAGAAGAAGCACCGGCUAACUCCGUGCCAGCAGCCGCGGUAAUACGGAGGGUGCGAGCGUUAAUCGGAAUUACUGGGCGUAAAGCGCAUGCUGGCGGCCUGUUAAGUCAGAUGUGAAAGCCCGGGGCUUAACCUCGGAAUUGCAUUUGAAACUGGCAGGCUAGAGUCUUGUAGAGGGGGUAGAAUUUCAGGUGUAGCGGUGAAAUGCGUAGAGAUCUGAAGGAAUACCAGUGGCGAAGGCGGCCCCCUGGACAAAGACUGACGCUCAGAUGCGAAAGCGUGGGGAGCAAACAGGAUUAGAUACCCUGGUAG